GCGCAUGUACUCGGGAUGGUGACAGACUUGCUUUGGGCCGACCAAACGCUACUUCACGACUGGGUAGUUACAAAGGUAGAUUUUGGGCUUGUCCAGACCCAUGUCGCGAUUCAUGAUCCAGCAGGAGGUGAUUUGCCCCUCCGAUGAGGAGAGAUGUGCUCUGGGGGCCCUUGGGUGAUCCGACCUGGAUAAGCAUGGUCGUGCGAUGAGGAUUAUGAGAUAAUCCGAAGUGCUGGUUGGAUUCACCGAAACAAGAAAGAGGUCGUGCUGCUAC
This 274-nucleotide long non-coding RNA is filed under the name Hordeum vulgare. RNAcentral's name for it is "long non-coding RNA (HVUL_LNC019854)". Lineage: Eukaryota; Viridiplantae; Streptophyta; Magnoliopsida; Poales; Poaceae. The record is from RNAcentral.